GAACGCACCUUGCGCCCUUUGGCUAUUCCGAAGGGCAUGCCUGUUCGAGCGUCAUUACACCACUCAAGCUAUGCUUGGUAUUGGGCGUCGUCCUUAGUUGGGCGCGCCUUAAAGACCUCGGCGAGGCCUCACCGGCUUUAGGCGUAGUAGAAUUUAUUCGAACGUCUGUCAAUGGAGAGGACUUCUGCCGACUGAAACCUUUAUUUUUUUACAGGUUGACCUCGGAUCAGGUAGGGAUACCCGCUGAACUUAAG
RNAcentral lists this unclassified non-coding RNA (254 nucleotides) under Aureobasidium subglaciale. RNAcentral describes it as "sequence contains 5.8S rRNA gene". Lineage: Eukaryota; Fungi; Ascomycota; Dothideomycetes; Dothideales; Saccotheciaceae. The record is from RNAcentral.